Molecule: ribosomal RNA, 451 nt
Filed under: uncultured bacterium
Lineage: Bacteria
Description: partial 16S ribosomal RNA
Rfam family: Bacterial small subunit ribosomal RNA
Source: RNAcentral
GUGGGGAAUAUUGGACAAUGGGGGGAACCCUGAUCCAGCCAUGCCGCGUGUGUGAAGAAGGCCUUUUGGUUGUUAAGCACUUUAAGCGAGGAGGAGGCUACCGAUAUUAAUACUCUUGGAUAGUGGACGUUACUCGCAGAAUAAGCACCGGCUAACUCUGUGCCAGCAGCCGCGGUAAUACAGAGGGUGCAAGCGUUAAUCGGAUUUACUGGGCGUAAAGCGCGCGUAGGUGGCCAAUUAAGUCAAAUGUGAAAUCCCCGAGCUUAACUUGGGAAUUGCAUUCGAUACUGGUUGGCUAGAGUAUGGGAGAGGAUGGUAGAAUUCCAGGUGUAGCGGUGAAAUGCGUAGAGAUCUGGAGGAAUACCGAUGGCGAAGGCAGCCAUCUGGCCUAAUACUGACACUGAGGUGCGAAAGCGUGGGGAGCAAACAGGAUUAGAAACCCUGGUAGUCC